RNAcentral lists this ribosomal RNA (158 nucleotides) under Anatolichthys anatoliae anatoliae. RNAcentral's name for it is "Aphanius anatoliae anatoliae partial 16S ribosomal RNA". The record is from RNAcentral. Lineage: Eukaryota; Metazoa; Chordata; Actinopteri; Cyprinodontiformes; Aphaniidae.
GAGUAAUCCAGGUCAGUUUCUAUCUAUGAAGAACCCCCUCCUAGUACGAAAGGACCGGAGAGGGGAGGCCAAUGCCUUACGCACGCCUCACCCUUACUUGAUGAAAACAACUAAAACGAGCAAGAGAACACACUUCCUUCGUUCCAAGAUAAUGACAU